This 1420-nucleotide long non-coding RNA is filed under the name Serinus canaria (Common canary). Its description in RNAcentral is "lncRNA (ENSSCAG00000005489.1)". Lineage: Eukaryota; Metazoa; Chordata; Aves; Passeriformes; Fringillidae. The record is from RNAcentral.
UUCCAUGGAUUAUAUUUCACUUAGCCUUAAAAUCUGCCUCUGACUGCACUCGGAAGAGCAGACACCCAUGCGUCCCCCGGGAAAGGCUGCGGGGGUCCAAGCAGGACUGGCCUCAGUCAUGGAGUGUGCUGCUGGGGCCGGAGCGAGCAUCCAGCUGCCAUCUGUGGCCAGGAGCGGAGAUGCUGUCCCUAGCAGGGGCAGCUUUAUUCCCACACAGGGAUGUGCUCCAGAGGAGAGCCUAUAGAAGCCCUUUUGGAUGCCACAGCCAAGCGAGGAGUUGGGGUGGUGCAGGAAGAAGCUGAGAGAUGGGGAGGCUCCUUGCCCUGCCCACGCACAGGUGGCUGGAGGGGCGGGUGCUGGGCACAGCCCGGCCCGGCUCUUUGCCUCGACAUCGCCAGCAGGACUUGGUCUGGGGUGGAAGCAAUAAAGGUGUCAUUUCACCCUGCCCUGUUGGCUCUCUGGUGUACCGGGGGAGAUUUGUUUGUGCCCUGGAGAACUGGGAGCUGCCCAGUGCUCCUCUGCAGCACGGAGGGGCAAGAGGACGCACCCGGCUGGGCACAGCCUGUACCGGCACGGCUGCCACACCAUGUCCCACAGCCGCUGCGGCUGCCUGGGGCCAGCCUGGCACCGUGCCCGUGCCAUGGAGCCAACUCGUCUCUGUGGGGCCCCAAACCCUCCCCAAGGGUGGCGGGACAGGGAGCCCUCCGAGGUCGGUGCGGGAGCAGGAGGCCCCACCCCAGGGCGGUUGCUGACGCCACGCAAGGAGCCGGGUGUCCGGGAUCAGAGCAGGAAGCGGGAGCCGUCGGCGGCGGUGGGGCCCGGGGAGCCAGGAGAAGGGCUGCUGGGGAGUAGCCGGCGUGGGGCCGGGGCACACCGAGGCCCCGGCCCCACCAUGCACACACUGGGGCAGCUCCUGCUGGUGCUGGUGGUGGGGUCGGCGGGUGGCCGUGGGGUCCCCCGCGACACCCUGGCCUGCUCCCAGGGCCUCACCUGCCGCCUCUUGGACACCGAUGUGCUGUGCGGGACANNNNNNNNNNNNNNNNNNNNNNNNNNNNNNNNNNNNNNNNGCGGUGAUGGGGGACAGUGGUCACCAGUGACUGGGGCCACCCCGUCCCAGCCCAACGUUACUGGGCUGCUGCUGCUCUCUGGGCACACGUAUGCCUCAUCCCGCUGCGUGGCCGUGGAGGUCUGGGCACCCUUGGGCCCCGCCCUGCGCGGCCGAACCGUGGUAUGUAGAUGCGGGGCACCGGGGGUCAGUGUCCCUACACUGUCAGUCCCUGGGCACGGGGGAUGUGGGCGCUGGCAUCAGCGCAUCUCUGUGGCAUGGGGGUCCCGUUCCUGUGCCGCAGAGAGGUGGGUGCUGGCGGUGCCGGUGCCUCACCGCAGUGGGGUGGUGGUUUUCCUGCCCAGGGUUGGGUGA